RNAcentral lists this ribosomal RNA (823 nucleotides) under uncultured bacterium. Its description in RNAcentral is "bacterial SSU rRNA". It matches the Rfam family "Bacterial small subunit ribosomal RNA", at positions 8 to 830 of the family's 1533-position model. The record is from RNAcentral.
AGAGUUUGAUCCUGGCUCAGGAUGAACGCUGGCGGCGUGCCUAACACAUGCAAGUCGAACGAAGCGCCCGCGCGGAUUCCCUCGGGAUGAAGCGCGGAUGACUGAGUGGCGGACGGGUGAGUAACGCGUGGGCAACCUGCCCCGUGCCGGGGGAUACCGCCUGGAAACAGGCGCUAAUACCGCAUAAGCGCAUACAGCCGCAUGGGUGUAUGCGGAAAGCUCCGGCGGCACGGGAUGGGCCCGCGCCCGAUUAGCCAGUUGGCGGGGUAACGGCCCACCAAAGCGACGAUCGGUAGCCGGCCUGAGAGGGCGGACGGCCACAUUGGGACUGAGACACGGCCCAAACUCCUACGGGAGGCAGCAGUGGGGAAUAUUGCACAAUGGGGGAAACCCUGAUGCAGCAACGCCGCGUGGGUGAAGGAGCGUUUCGGCGCGUAAAGCCCUGUCAGCGGGGAAGAAGAAAGACGGUACCCGACCAAGAAGCCCCGGCUAACUACGUGCCAGCAGCCGCGGUAAUACGUAGGGGGCGAGCGUUAUCCGGAAUUACUGGGUGUAAAGGGAGCGUAGACGGCGAGGUAAGCCUGAAGUGGAAGCCCGCGGCCCAACCGCGGAACUGCUUUGGGAACUGUUUUGCUGGAGUAUGGGAGGGGUAAGCGGAAUUCCUGGUGUAGCGGUGAAAUGCGUAGAUAUCAGGAGGAACACCGGUGGCGAAGGCGGCUUACUGGACCAUAACUGACGUUGAGGCUCGAAAGCGUGGGGAGCGAACAGAAUUAGAUACCCUGGUAGUCCACGCCGUAAACGAUGAUUACCCAGUGUCGGGGUG